CCUACGGGUGGCUGCAGUGAGGAAUAUUGGUCAAUGGCCGUGAGGCUGAACCAGCCAAGUCGCGUGAGGGAAGACGGUCCUAUGGUUUGUAAACUUCUUUUUUAGGGGAAUAAAGGUAUCCACGUGUGGAUUUUCGAAUGUACCCUAUGAAAAAGCAUCGGCUAACUCCGUGCCAGCAGCGGCGUUAAUACGGAGGAUGCGAGCGUUCUCCGGUUUUAUGGGUUUUAAGGGGUGCGCAGGUGGUAUUUUAAGUCGCGGUUAAAAUUUGGGGCCCCAACAUAAAAUUGCCGUUGACACUGGAAGACUUGAGUGUGUUUGAGGUAGGCGGAAUGCGUGGUGUAGCGGUGAAAUGCAUAGAUAUCACGCAGAACUCCGAUUGCGAAGGCAGCUUACUAAGCCAUAACUGACACUGAAGCACGAAAGCGUGGGGAUCAAACAGGAUUAGAUACCCUUGUAGUC
RNAcentral lists this ribosomal RNA (459 nucleotides) under uncultured bacterium. RNAcentral describes it as "partial 16S ribosomal RNA". It matches the Rfam family "Bacterial small subunit ribosomal RNA", at positions 338 to 795 of the family's 1533-position model. The record is from RNAcentral.